CAGCCGCCGCGGGAAUACGUAGGCGGCAAGCGUUGUCCGGAACUAUUGGGCGUAAAGGGCUCGCAGGCGGUUUCUUAAGUCUGAUGUGAAAGCCCCCGGCUCAACCGGGGAGGGUCAUUGGAAACUGGGAAACUUGAGUGCAGAAGAGGAGAGUGGAAUUCCACGUGUAGCGGUGAAAUGCGUAGAGAUGUGGAGGAACACCAGUGGCGAAGGCGACUCUCUGGUCUGUAACUGACGCUGAGGAGCGAAAGCGUGGGGAGCGAACAGGAUUAGAUACCCCCGUAGUCCCUGUCUCUUAUAU
This 301-nucleotide ribosomal RNA is filed under the name uncultured bacterium. RNAcentral describes it as "partial 16S ribosomal RNA". It matches the Rfam family "Bacterial small subunit ribosomal RNA", at positions 509 to 809 of the family's 1533-position model. The record is from RNAcentral.